Small nucleolar RNA from Oryctolagus cuniculus (rabbit), 81 nucleotides. Its record names the gene SNORD115. It matches the Rfam family "Small nucleolar RNA SNORD115". Rfam says of the family: HBII-52 is a member of the C/D class of snoRNAs, which contain the C (UGAUGA) and D (CUGA) box motifs. HBII-52 is encoded in a tandemly repeated array with another C/D snoRNA, HBII-85, in the Prader-Willi syndrome (PWS) region of chromosome 15. HBII-52 is exclusively expressed in the brain but is absent in PWS patients. The record is from Ensembl. Lineage: Eukaryota; Metazoa; Chordata; Mammalia; Lagomorpha; Leporidae.
GGGUCUAUGAUAAGACUUCAUACUGUCUUGAAGAGAAAUGAUGACUUAAAAAUCAUGCUCAAUAGGAUUACCCUGAGGCCC